UUAAGCGACUAAGCGUACACGGUGGAUGCCCUGGCAGUCAGAGGCGAUGAAGGACGUGCUAAUCUGCGAUAAGCGUCGGUAAGGUGAUAUGAACCGUUAUAACCGGCGAUUUCCGAAUGGGGAAACCCAGUGUGAUUCGUCACACUAUCAUUAACUGAAUCCAUAGGUUAAUGAGGCGAACCGGGGGAACUGAAACAUCUAAGUACCCCGAGGAAAAGAAAUCAACCGAGAUUCCCCCAGUAGCGGCGAGCGAACGGGGAGCAGCCCAGAGCCUGAAUCAGUGUGUGUGUUAGUGGAAGCGUCUGGAAAGGCGCGCGAUACAGGGUGACAGCCCCGUACACAAAAAUGCACAUACUGUGAGCUCGAUGAGUAGGGCGGGACACGUGGUAUCCUGUCUGAAUAUGGGGGGACCAUCCUCCAAGGCUAAAUACUCCUGACUGACCGAUAGUGAACCAGUACCGUGAGGGAAAGGCGAAAAGAACCCCGGCGAGGGGAGUGAAAAAGAACCUGAAACCGUGUACGUACAAGCAGUGGGAGCACGCUUAGGCGUGUGACUGCGUACCUUUUGUAUAAUGGGUCAGCGACUUAUAUUCUGUAGCAAGGUUAACCGAAUAGGGGAGCCGAAGGGAAACCGAGUCUUAACUGGGCGUUAAGUUGCAGGGUAUAGACCCGAAACCCGGUGAUCUAGCCAUGGGCAGGUUGAAGGUUGGGUAACACUAACUGGAGGACCGAACCGACUAAUGUUGAAAAAUUAGCGGAUGACUUGUGGCUGGGGGUGAAAGGCCAAUCAAACCGGGAGAUAGCUGGUUCUCCCCGAAAGCUAUUUAGGUAGCGCCUCGUGAAUUCAUCUCCGGGGGUAGAGCACUGUUUCGGCAAGGGGGUCAUCCCGACUUACCAACCCGAUGCAAACUGCGAAUACCGGAGAAUGUUAUCACGGGAGACACACGGCGGGUGCUAACGUCCGUCGUGAAGAGGGAAACAACCCAGACCGCCAGCUAAGGUCCCAAAGUCAUGGUUAAGUGGGAAACGAUGUGGGAAGGCCCAGACAGCCAGGAUGUUGGCUUAGAAGCAGCCAUCAUUUAAAGAAAGCGUAAUAGCUCACUGGUCGAGUCGGCCUGCGCGGAAGAUGUAACGGGGCUAAACCAUGCACCGAAGCUGCGGCAGCGACGCUUAUGCGUUGUUGGGUAGGGGAGCGUUCUGUAAGCCUGUGAAGGUGUACUGUGAGGUAUGCUGGAGGUAUCAGAAGUGCGAAUGCUGACAUAAGUAACGAUAAAGCGGGUGAAAAGCCCGCUCGCCGGAAGACCAAGGGUUCCUGUCCAACGUUAAUCGGGGCAGGGUGAGUCGACCCCUAAGGCGAGGCCGAAAGGCGUAGUCGAUGGGAAACAGGUUAAUAUUCCUGUACUUGGUGUUACUGCGAAGGGGGGACGGAGAAGGCUAUGUUGGCCGGGCGACGGUUGUCCCGGUUUAAGCGUGUAGGCUGGUUUUCCAGGCAAAUCCGGAAAAUCAAGGCUGAGGCGUGAUGACGAGGCACUACGGUGCUGAAGCAACAAAUGCCCUGCUUCCAGGAAAAGCCUCUAAGCAUCAGGUAACAUCAAAUCGUACCCCAAACCGACACAGGUGGUCAGGUAGAGAAUACCAAGGCGCUUGAGAGAACUCGGGUGAAGGAACUAGGCAAAAUGGUGCCGUAACUUCGGGAGAAGGCACGCUGAUAUGUAGGUGAAGUCCCUCGCGGAUGGAGCUGAAAUCAGUCGAAGAUACCAGCUGGCUGCAACUGUUUAUUAAAAACACAGCACUGUGCAAACACGAAAGUGGACGUAUACGGUGUGACGCCUGCCCGGUGCCGGAAGGUUAAUUGAUGGGGUUAGCGCAAGCGAAGCUCUUGAUCGAAGCCCCGGUAAACGGCGGCCGUAACUAUAACGGUCCUAAGGUAGCGAAAUUCCUUGUCGGGUAAGUUCCGACCUGCACGAAUGGCGUAAUGAUGGCCAGGCUGUCUCCACCCGAGACUCAGUGAAAUUGAACUCGCUGUGAAGAUGCAGUGUACCCGCGGCAAGACGGAAAGACCCCGUGAACCUUUACUAUAGCUUGACACUGAACAUUGAGCCUUGAUGUGUAGGAUAGGUGGGAGGCUUUGAAGUGUGGACGCCAGUCUGCAUGGAGCCGACCUUGAAAUACCACCCUUUAAUGUUUGAUGUUCUAACGUUGACCCGUAAUCCGGGUUGCGGACAGUGUCUGGUGGGUAGUUUGACUGGGGCGGUCUCCUCCUAAAGAGUAACGGAGGAGCACGAAGGUUGGCUAAUCCUGGUCGGACAUCAGGAGGUUAGUGCAAUGGCAUAAGCCAGCUUGACUGCGAGCGUGACGGCGCGAGCAGGUGCGAAAGCAGGUCAUAGUGAUCCGGUGGUUCUGAAUGGAAGGGCCAUCGCUCAACGGAUAAAAGGUACUCCGGGGAUAACAGGCUGAUACCGCCCAAGAGUUCAUAUCGACGGCGGUGUUUGGCACCUCGAUGUCGGCUCAUCACAUCCUGGGGCUGAAGUAGGUCCCAAGGGUAUGGCUGUUCGCCAUUUAAAGUGGUACGCGAGCUGGGUUUAGAACGUCGUGAGACAGUUCGGUCCCUAUCUGCCGUGGGCGCUGGAGAACUGAGGGGGGCUGCUCCUAGUACGAGAGGACCGGAGUGGACGCAUCACUGGUGUUCGGGUUGUCAUGCCAAUGGCACUGCCCGGUAGCUAAAUGCGGAAGAGAUAAGUGCUGAAAGCAUCUAAGCACGAAACUUGCCCCGAGAUGAGUUCUCCCUGA
This 2790-nucleotide ribosomal RNA is filed under the name Escherichia coli. RNAcentral describes it as "bacterial LSU rRNA". It matches the Rfam family "Bacterial large subunit ribosomal RNA". Lineage: Bacteria; Pseudomonadati; Pseudomonadota; Gammaproteobacteria; Enterobacterales; Enterobacteriaceae. The record is from RNAcentral.